Molecule: long non-coding RNA, 524 nt
Organism: Mytilus californianus (California mussel)
Lineage: Eukaryota; Metazoa; Mollusca; Bivalvia; Mytilida; Mytilidae
Exons: 3
Source: RefSeq, a predicted model, not a curated record
ACCAACACGUGCAUUUUUAACUAACAGUACCUUUAGUUGGUCUGAUGCAAUCGGCAAGUGUAGACUGAUUCAAAAUGAAACGACUAUUCCUUAUUCGCAAUCCCCGACAGGACUGGGAUGGACGAAUAUAUCCGCAGAAUAUUUACCCUGGGUAGAGUAUUUAGGGUGCUUCAAGAUGUGGGAAGGAAAAGGCUUAAAUGCCAUACAAAAACAUGUUACAGAUGGUGAACAGCUUAAAGAAUGUAUUUUACGCUGCGAGGAGUAUCAAUUUCUUGGUUUGCAGAAAUCGUUAUGUAUCUGCCUACGUAAUUUCACACUAACAGAGGAAUUUAUUGAGACCCAUUGUGAUAGAAACGUGACAACAUGUUCCGGGGAUCGGUUUGCCUUUUGUGGAAAGGAAGACGGAAAUGGUUACCUUUCUGUGUAUAAAAAAGGUAUUUCCCACAUACACGUGUGUCCACAUUAAAUAUUACAAAUAAGUUGAAAAACAAAUGAUGGCUAGAUUGUCAAGUUAGAGACAACCA